Molecule: non-coding RNA, 113 nt
Organism: Acanthosepion pharaonis
Lineage: Eukaryota; Metazoa; Mollusca; Cephalopoda; Sepiida; Sepiidae
Source: the annotation of a GenBank genome assembly
UACAGCCAUAUCCCUUUGAAACACCGUGUCUCCUUGGAUCACCGAAAUUAAGCAACAUCGAGACUGGUCAGUACCUAUAUGGGUGACCACUUGGAAAUACCAGGUGCUGUAAG